This 413-nucleotide ribosomal RNA is filed under the name uncultured bacterium. RNAcentral describes it as "bacterial SSU rRNA". It matches the Rfam family "Bacterial small subunit ribosomal RNA", at positions 505 to 916 of the family's 1533-position model. The record is from RNAcentral.
GUGCCAGCCGCCGCGGUAAUACGUAGGUGGCAAGCGUUGUCCGGAUUUAUUGGGCGUAAAGCGAGCGCAGGCGGAAUGAUAAGUCUGAUGUGAAAGCCCACGGCUCAACCGUGGAACUGCAUCGGAAACUGUCAUUCUUGAGUGCAGAAGAGGAGAGUGGAAUUCCAUGUGUAGCGGUGGAAUGCGUAGAUAUAUGGAAGAACACCAGUGGCGAAGGCGGCUCUCUGGUCUGCAACUGACGCUGAGGCUCGAAAGCAUGGGUAGCGAACAGGAUUAGAUACCCUGGUAGUCCAUGCCGUAAACGAUGAGCGCUAGGUGUUGGGGACUUUCCGGUCCUCAGUGCCGCAGCAAACGCAUUAAGCGCUCCGCCUGGGGAGUACGACCGCAAGGUUGAAACUCAAAGGAAUUGACGG